Molecule: ribosomal RNA, 248 nt
Filed under: uncultured Sphingomonas sp.
Lineage: Bacteria; Pseudomonadati; Pseudomonadota; Alphaproteobacteria; Sphingomonadales; Sphingomonadaceae
Description: partial 16S rRNA
Rfam family: Bacterial small subunit ribosomal RNA
Source: RNAcentral
GGACUGGUAUUGACGCUGAGGUGCGAAAGCGUGGGAGCAAACAGGAUUAGAUACCCUGGUAGUCCACGCCGUAAACGAUGAUAACUAGCUGCUGGGCUCAUGGAGCUUCGGUGGCGCACGUAACGCAUUAAGUUAUCCGCCUGGGGAGUACGGUCGCAAGAUUAAAACUCAAAGGAAUUGACGGGGGCCUGCACAAGCGGUGGAGGAUGGGGUUUAAUUCUAAGCAACGCGCAGAACCUUACCAGCGU